This 301-nucleotide ribosomal RNA is filed under the name uncultured bacterium. RNAcentral's name for it is "partial 16S ribosomal RNA". It matches the Rfam family "Bacterial small subunit ribosomal RNA", at positions 509 to 807 of the family's 1533-position model. The record is from RNAcentral.
CAGCCGCCGCGGGAAUACGGAGGGGGCUAGCGUUGUACGGAAUUACUGGGCGUAAAGCGCACGUAGGCGGCUUGGUAAGUUAGAGGUGAAAGCCUGGAGCUCAACUCCAGAAUUGCCUUUAAGACUGCCGAGCUAGCAGGUGAGAGAGGUAAGUGGAAUUCCGAGUGUAGAGGUGAAAUUCGUAGAUAUUCGGAAGAACACCAGUGGCGAAGGCGGCUUACUGGCUCAUACUGGACGCUGAGGUGCGAAAGCGUGGGGAGCAAACAGGAUUAGAUACCCCUGUAGUCCCUGUCUCUUAUAC